AACGAGGCCGACCUGCGGCUGAGUUACCUGCGGAAGGAUCAUUAAAAAACUUUGCCCGCGGACCUUGGGUCCAAGGCGCAAAACCCACACUAUGUGCACUGUUAUCGUUCUUUUGGCAGAGGCUUGGGGUGUCUUCCAACUUGGGGAACCUCAACUUCUCGUCUAGUUCUAUCCACCUCGGACAGCUGGACAUGAGAAGCAGUUACUCUGCCAAGUGACCCUUAAAAACACGCUUUUUUG
Molecule: unclassified non-coding RNA, 240 nt
Filed under: soil metagenome
Description: partial contains 5.8S ribosomal RNA, internal transcribed spacer 2, and large subunit ribosomal RNA
Source: RNAcentral